UACGGAGGAUGCAAGCGUUAUCCGGAAUGAUUGGGCGUAAAGCGUCCGCAGGUGGCAAUGUAAGUCUGCUGUCAAAGCGUCUGGCUCAACCAGAUAAAGGCAGUGGAAACUACAUAGCUAGAGUAAGGUAGGGGUAGAGGGAAUUCCUGGUGUAGCGGUGAAAUGCGUAGAUAUCGUAAGGAAGACCAGUGGCGAAGGCGGGUCUCUGGACAGUUCCUGACGCUGAGGCACGAAGGUCAGGGGAGCAAACGGG
RNAcentral lists this ribosomal RNA (253 nucleotides) under uncultured bacterium. Its description in RNAcentral is "partial 16S ribosomal RNA". It matches the Rfam family "Bacterial small subunit ribosomal RNA", at positions 524 to 776 of the family's 1533-position model. The record is from RNAcentral.